RNAcentral lists this long non-coding RNA (834 nucleotides) under Homo sapiens (human). RNAcentral's name for it is "HSALNT0354530". Lineage: Eukaryota; Metazoa; Chordata; Mammalia; Primates; Hominidae. The record is from RNAcentral.
UGGUGAUCUCACUAUGUUGAAAGGACAGGAUUUGAUGCAUGCCGUGUCAGUGGUGAUCACUGUUAUUGAGAUAGAUUUGCACCGAUGUCUGGGAGUUUGGACUGAAUGUUAAUAACAUACAAAGGUGACCUGCAAUAAAUACACAGCUCUGUCAGAAAGCUAGAGGUCUGCUUGGCAGAGAGAGUCAUCAUGGAUUGUGGCAGAUUCUCCUUCUGUCAAGGCUUAUCUGAAGGCUAAAUAAAUCAUGCUGGAAUCUUCUGGGAUGUUGGAAGAGAGGAAAAACCCUGAACACUCUGCGGCUUCUCUGAGAAACCCUAUCGAAGGGGAUGUGGAAUCCCAGAGCUACUCUUGCUAUCAACUCGCCGCAUGACCUUGGGAAAAUCAUUUCACCUGGUUCAGCAAUGAUUUACUGAGCUAUUGAAGGCCUUACUUUCCAGAUCCAGAUCCUUGUGCAUACAACUGACUUGUGUGGGUGAGGCUUGCAGAAAAAAUCAGCUAGAACAGCCUUGGGGGUAGUGGCAAGGUGGCCAGAGCAAUUGACUGGGAGCUGGGAACAGGAAUGAAGAGGAAGAGCUGAUAAGAAACAUGCCCAGAGCAGAUUUGAUGCUACUGCCAAUGUACCUGAAUAAGAAGACAACUCUUUCUGGAAAAAGGGAAAACUUGAAGGGCUAUUGAAGGCCGCUAGAAAGAUGGAGUUUCACUCUUGUCGCCCAGGAUGGAGUACAAUGGCAUGAUCUUGGCUCACUGCAACCUCUGCUUCCAGGGUUCAAGUGAUUCUCCUGCCUCAGCCUCCUGAGUAGUACAGAAGGAACUUUGGAUGUGGGAGAGAAAGAC